GAUGAACGCUGGCGGCGUGCCUAAUACAUGCAAGUCGAGCGAACGGACGAGAAGCUUGCUCCUCUGACGUUAGCGGCGGACGGGUGAGUAACACGUGGAUAACCUACCUAUAAGACUGGGAUAACUUCGGGAAACCGGAGCUAAUACCGGAUAAUAUUUUGAACCGCAUGGUUCAAAAGUGAAAGACGGUCUUGCUGUCACUUAUAGAUGGAUCCGCGCUGCAUUAGCUAGUUGGUAAGGUAACGGCUUACCAAGGCAACGAUGCAUAGCCGACCUGAGAGGGUGAUCGGCCACACUGGAACUGAGACACGGUCCAGACUCCUACGGGAGGCAGCAGUAGGGAAUCUUCCGCAAUGGGCGAAAGCCUGACGGAGCAACGCCGCGUGAGUGAUGAAGGUCUUCGGAUCGUAAAACUCUGUUAUUAGGGAAGAACAUAUGUGUAAGUAACUGUGCACGUCUUGACGGUACCUAAUCAGAAAGCCACGGCUAACUACGUG
This 497-nucleotide ribosomal RNA is filed under the name uncultured bacterium. RNAcentral describes it as "partial 16S ribosomal RNA". It matches the Rfam family "Bacterial small subunit ribosomal RNA", at positions 28 to 507 of the family's 1533-position model. The record is from RNAcentral.